RNAcentral lists this ribosomal RNA (403 nucleotides) under uncultured prokaryote. RNAcentral describes it as "bacterial SSU rRNA". It matches the Rfam family "Bacterial small subunit ribosomal RNA", at positions 355 to 774 of the family's 1533-position model. The record is from RNAcentral.
UCGAGAAUCUUGGGCAAUGGGCGAAAGCCUGACCCAGCAAUGCCGCGUGCGGGAUGAAGGUCUUCGGAUUGUAAACCGCUGUCACUGGGGACGAAUUUUGACGGUACCUGGAGAGGAAGACACGGCUAACUACGUGCCAGCAGCCGCGGUAAUACGUAGGUGUCGAGCGUUGUUCGGAUUCAUUGGGCGUAAAGGGUCCGUAGGGGGUUGGUUAAGUCUGAUGUGAAAUCCCGGAGCUCAACUCCGGAACUGCAUUGGAAACUGACUGACUAGAGCAUCGGAGAGGAGAUUGGAAUUCCAGGUGUAGCGAUAAAAUGCGUAGAUAUCUGGAAGAACACCGAAAGCGAAGGCAGAUCUCUGGACGAUUGCUGACCCUCAGGGACGAAAGCGUGGGGAGCAAACA